Molecule: ribosomal RNA, 96 nt
Filed under: Danio rerio (zebrafish)
Lineage: Eukaryota; Metazoa; Chordata; Actinopteri; Cypriniformes; Danionidae
Source: RNAcentral
UGCCACAGCCGUAUCACCCUGACCAGGCUAAGCAGGGCUGAGCCUGGUCAGUACCUGGAUGGGAGACCACAUGGGAAAACUAGGUUGCUGUUGGAA